UCGAUCUCGAUCUCUUUCUCUUCCUCUUAGGGACUAUUCCUCGCUCGCGCUCUAUCUCUGCCGACUGGACCUUCUAGGAAGGGGGGCCUACUUGGCCUCCUCAGGACUCGUGUUCCGUCACACUCAAAGGCUAAUGCUUACGACGACACCGAUCUUCCGAUGUACCUACGUACCGGUACUAUUCAGAGCUAGAUCCAUCCAUGCUGAUGAUGAUCACCGCGACUCUGAGUUUCGCGAAUCAAUUCAAACUUACGAGAUUACGAUUUCAACGAAAGAUAAUUUGCACUGGGGAGAAAGGUUUGACUCGGUAUAUGAUGAUGAAUCUCAGUUGUCUGGUAUGCAUGGAACGCAAAGAGAACUCAUCGAGGACCUUUUAUGGACAAUAAUUUUUUUAUUGGUAUAAAAUUAUAACUCAGAAAUGAGAAAACACCGACGUUUCAAAGAAUAUUUUAUAUGCUAGUGAUGUUGAUGUUAGAAAAUGAUGUCAGUUAUUUCUAUUGAGUGAUUUUCAAAAUUCAAAAUACUUUUAUUCAAUUUUUUGAAAUCCACAGGAAAAAAAAAGAAAUAUAAAAAAUUAAAGUAAUACGACUAUCAUAUACAAAAAAUUAUGUGAGAGUCACAAAAAUUAAAAUUACAAGAAAAAAAGAGAAUUUAUCUACCUAAAAUAGUAUUGCAACAUUAGGAACGAAUCAACGAAUCAUUCUUCUCGACCUCGUCGGACUCAAAAGGGUUCAAGUGAAAAUCACUUUUCAAGAAUAAAAUACGUGAAUAUCCUAGACAAAUCCAAAGUUACCCAAAUUAUCGCAGAAGCCAUACAUUGACCUUUAGAGGGCCGGAAAAACCCGGAGGGCAGAUGAACCCAUGAUAGGAACAUUGCAUACAGUAAACCCAUGUUACAAGACUCAAGUUUGGGUCGUUUUAAAAAGACGUUCUAAGAUCUCAAACUCCGGCCCUCUAAAGGCUAAAGGCUAAAGGAACUCAGAGUCUAUUGUAUACAGAUACGUAUAAGCGCAAGCUGAAAGUGCAAUACAUUCACUAUGACAAAUGCAUCCUCGGUUAACCGAAAUAACCAUGUAAAGGGAGCAAGAUCUCAGUUAAACAGCUCGCUGGGUUUACGCCUUGUGCACGCGUGGUGCUUGAUGCGUGGUGCUACGCACGUCUCACGCUCGUGUCCGUUAAAGCGCGGAGAGUCCAAUGGGCGAGUUUAAAAUACACAAAACGAAGCGUAUCCGCGCGAUGGUGAAACUGGAACGCGAUCAUCCUUGUUUGCCUUGCGCGAGCCUUGCAUCGGAAUGCACUCUGUCUCUCGGCGGUAGUCGCCGGCAGGUUUUUAGAAAAAUAAAAGUCACCAGUUAAGUUUUUCCAUAAACUUUAUCGCCGGUCCUCCCGACGUCCUUGGAGGCAAAGCGGCCACUCCUACCAAGAGUCUUUCAGAAGUAUAUCGUCAUUAACGUCGCGACGGGGCACGACGAUCCUUCGUCUGCCGAUGUCAAGGAAUGCGAAACAAAACAAACCCCCCAGCUUUCCCUUCCCUCCCACAGAAUGUCACAUCCGUGUACACAUGCUAUUGCCUGGGUAGUUCGUUGAAAAUCCCAGCGGCUGAUAUUGUUACUGUCUUUGGAAUUAUUUUUCCAACUUGGUACUACACACCCUGCAGCCUGAGAACUGUCUCGGAUUCGGCUUGGCCACCAUUAAGAAACCGUUCGACGAUGACGACGUCAACGAACGUUUCCAUCGUCACAAUUCAUCCUGCUGACCCAACCUCGAGCUCUCUAAUUCUUAUCACUCACUAUCAGUGCCAUUUCGUAGAUACUCACAAGUACGUACAAUCUAUAUAUACAAAUGUCACAUACGUGUCUCCCUCGCUCUCUCUUUUCCCUAUCUUUUAAUUUAUACCUUGGAGAUGAUAGUCUGCUCGUCGCCUUAACCUCAAAAAACAUGACUAUAGCGACACACCCGAUAAAAGUACCCUGAGUGCUGCACUUGAAAAGUUUCUCUUGUAUACAUACGUCUACGCGAUCGAGAUAGGACUGAAAUUCCAGAGAGACAACAACGACGCACGAAACUCGGUUGGAUUAGCAUAUAAGUUAAAUGCAGAUGAUCCGACAAGCCGUGGAUGAACUCCCUAGAAAUUGUGUUAAGUGUGGCGCGAAUGGAAGAUCAGCAAAUAUCGUCGUGUAUAGUCACUGAUAUCCGAUCCCGUCAUUCCUUCGCGAGUUUACGGGGCUAUCCUCGAAAUUUCGAAAGCUAUCCAUCUAAAAGUUAAAUGAACUGGCGGAAUGCCGAUCGAGAAGAAUACUUGCGUGGUCCCCCGUAUCGAUCGAAGUAAGGAUGGUAAUCAUAUUUUCCGCUCGAGCGAUGAAGCUCAAUCGUAAAAUGAUCAGUUCAAAAAAAAAGCAUCUGAGUAUUAAUUUAUGCGUUUUUCUCAGUGUUCUAAUCGGUGUCAAUCGCUGCACGUAUCGACCUACUCAGAAAGAGCCGUUAUGUUGUAUCUCUCACUCCUAGCUUUUAGACUACUACGACAUGCUACAGUACCGGUCCGAUGCAUCGCUAUGCCAACGUCCUUAGGUUAUUACUUGGCAUAGCCUGUCCUCGUCCAUAGUAUAGUCUCCUCGCCUAGCAUUCUACGUAGGCGUAAAGCCGAACGCGUAGGCUCAUUCAUAGAUUAUUUUUAUAUGUCGCUUAUUCAGGCCACCACGAACCGAUCCUCCACCGAAGAACAAAGGAAGUCACUUGUAAAAUGAUGACAAGCCGAACCCUAUCUUUAACACCGACCACGUUAAUUGCUUCGAACGUAAAUAUACCGUUUCCGUGUGUCAUCGAAAUUCCUUCCAAUAAGUCCCAGUUAUCGAUUCAGUGAUCCCGUACAGAUCAGCAAUAAAUCAACCAAGCAGCGAAAGCCGACAGGGAAUGCCAUUUACUUUUAUUGGUAACCAUGCGCACUUGGACUAACCACCUUCAUCUAAUCCUUUUAGAUCUCCACUGUAUUUUAAUACCAGCAUAUCGAUGCUUACUUACAUAUUACGCUGUUUUACAGUUUAACGCAAGCUUUACAGUUAUCGCGGCGUCGUCAUUUUUCCAUAAUCCUAUAAAUGUCAUAAUCGGCUUUUGACUUGAAUGCGGAUGCGGAAGGUGACUGGGACAAAGAUCUCGUGAAAUCGCUGAUAUAUUUUUGGUGUGUUCGGUGAUCCGCGAUAAAAAUCGUGGCACACUGACCCGGUGCGUGUUUUAGAAUAACUUUAGAGCUCCGGCAAUAAUGAGACCGACUUGAUGUGAGACGUGCAUUUUAAUUUUCCAACCGGACGGGUCCGCCGAUAUCUCAUGUACCUACGUACCCACGUACGUGCUCCAGUACCGAAAGACAUUGUUAAUGUGUCGGAUUCGAACGGACCACUUCGAUUUCAGCACACGUAUUACAGGGACAGUUGUCAUAGAUGUUUUUACAAUUCGUAACACAUUACCAUGCCCGGAAAGUACUAUGAGUAUAGCGCCCUGACGUCUGACCGAUCCAUCAACAGGAUGUUAACGGGUAUUCCAGAUACAUGAUAAACGGGGAUGAACUCAUGGCGAACGUGAAAAUCAGAAAACAACGAUUUAACAAAAAAUAAUCAACUAAGCUAGGUAUAGACUAGAGUCUGGUACAGGCAUAUAGAAAAUGACGUGUAAAAGGAGUUAAAAUUAAAUAAAAGGGAAUGGCAGUGAUAAACGAGCCUGAUAUGGGGAUAAUUUUUGCUUAAAUAUUUAGGACACAUUGUAGGUCAGUAUGCCACGACUUUUAGAAUCCAGUAUCCAGUAAGUUCCAGCUCUGAAUUUUUCCUUCUUUUAUUAGAUUCUCAAUAGUCGAAGUAAACGUCACGCAUCGCGGAGCUUCACAACUUGGAGCGAUCGCUCUUCGUAAACGUUAUAGGCGAGUGUUUCCACUGGGAUCUUCUAACAGUAAAGAUACUUUUUAUUAGAAUUUUGCUUUUCAUCUACGUCAGCGUGAGAUCACCUCGGAGGGCAUUCUUGAAAAAAGACAAAUCAGCGACAGUGACGAGACGAGUGCUUGACUCCUCGUGUAUCUCUCAAGAGGAUAAAAAGUUGCGACUUUUACUUUGACGAUACGUGACAUACCCGCCGGCUGCAGUUGUAACGUGAACAAUCGCUGGGUUAUGGCUGUAUGUCAAAUACCAAUGAGUUAUUAAGACUUCACUUUGGAGUGACGUGAUGCUGCUAAAGUAUACGUUAAAUUAAAUAUACACAGAAAAUACACGGACACUCAAUCAUACAAGGAAGUACGUAAUGAUUAUUCGUCCAUCUUAAAUUUCUAAAAGCACAAAGACCCUAUUAUGACCCUAAGACCCUAUGAUUUCUCUAAAAAAAUUGUACUAGAUAUAAGUAGCAAAUUUCAAGGUAAUUUCGAGAAGGUAUCUCAAGCGAGUCACCCUGUAUAUUAGACGGUUAGUGGGAAACAGGAGUGUAGGGUGCGAGCCUUAGGCCCAGACGAAAUCAAUAGUAGGACAGGAUAAAUAGUACGGUUAAGUCAAUGGACUUUCUUCUUCCUGUUGUUUUCAGAAAGAGAAACAACUAGAGAGAAAGGUGAAGGCAGGUUUCGAAUACAAAGGAAAGUAAAGGAUAAAAGUAAUAUCAAACAUCUCUAAUCAUAUAGGGAACUUUCUUUAUGUCUCUAUGGAUAAGUAAUUGACAGCUCUUAUACCCAUAGACAAUAGAAUCAAUAAUGAAAUACUGUACUUGAAUUUAAAUCUUCCUUCACCGUGAACAGUCGGUACUCAAGUAAACGCCGUGAAAGACCGUCAGUGUUUAAUAAAGUAACAGCUUGAUCAUUCGAGUCAUUUAAAUAAAUCCUCCAUGAAGCCACAGCGAAUCUUGGCAGCCGUUCAAGCAUUCAUUAUUCAGUCCUCGAUGCACCCGUGACGCGAACGGGUACCAGCAGCUUUGUGCUCCUCGUAACCAUGGUGCAUUGACUCUGCUUAAGACUAAACCAUCAGCUUCGGCUAGUUAAUCGAGAUUUCCUGAAAUCGCCCUAACUGUGAAUACGGCAUUGCCAUUAAGAAAAUUCUUCCUUUUACCGGCAUGCGCGGCCGUUUUUAGUAAAUGCGAAUAGGUUCUCGGCUACUUAUGGAAAUAGGUUUAUUGGCCGGCUUUGCAGUCUACAUAAACGGAAAACGGCAUUUAGCGCACCCGACUACUGUUGCAAACGGCUGGCAGAAGUAAAUUGCAAGAAAGAUCCUACUUCCUUAGAAGAGUUCUGGCAAGCGAACAUAGAGGAACUUAAAGAUACACAUAAACGGUUUAGAUUCUACAGAGAUUCGAACUGGUGAUUGCGUGGGACGCAAACAGGUACUGAUCUACCCACUAGAACGGAGCUACAGUUCGUUUCAAGGAGGAUAGUACCUAUUCCUACAGAGAAAGUGUCAAAGAGAGACGAGCCUGCCGAUGGGUGCGUCUAUACUCGGAGAAAUAACUGCAAACGUCGCCAAGGGAUAUUUUGUCGUGCACCAAACAAAUCGAGCGGAACUAUUAUAAUUAAAGGCAAACUCGCAGAAUCUGCAUGUUUUUAUGGAUAACGUAAAAGUUCAUGUAAACUUGGCACGAUACAAUUUCAGCGGAAGGCUGACGCGAUGUGAUGCUUCUGCGGCGACGCUGGUGCAAAUUGCAAUUCGCCGGUCGAGCGCUUACAAUUGGUCGAAAUUGACGGCAAUUAGGGCCAAUGCACGUUGGAACAGUGAUUUCGCGUCGCGCAAUUCGACGAAGCGCGACGCGCGGGAUCGGGGUACCGCGCGACGAGACGAGUGGGAACUGGGAAGCCGACGAGGGAAUGACGAGAGAAGAUAAAAAGACUUGGCCUUGAGGUCCAUUUCUCCUUACAAGGGUUGCGAGAGAAUCGAGUGGCCUCGCGAAGUAUCACGUAGCGUCAUGACUUUAGGACAAUGUAUGUACUACGGCCGAGUAGCAUAAGCCGCACUUUGCGGUAACGAGAGAUCUUCGUGGCAUCGGAGCAUCGAUGCGUCAAAACGUCGCCGGGGAAGUUCAGAUGACGGCAGAAGGUCCAGUGGGAUGAAAUUUCAUAGAGGAAGGUAAUGCCGCUUUUCAACCGCACCCCUCUACCUCCCUACCUAUAUAUACUUCUUAUUUGUACUUGAUCUCUGCAUCGUCCUAUAUGAGUCUGCGAUAAAUCGAUUACCGUCCAAGAUGAUAGCAAUGUCGUUAUUACGUAUUACGUCCUGAAGAAAGCACCGAUUAACUUGGCUCCUCUAGACCCUUUAUCGUGGUCUUGCUUGAAUGACGUCAUUGUUCUAUGUUAAAGUGCACGCUAGCGAGGUUUAGUACAAUAUUUUGGCAGACGUGGUCCUGUACUGCGUGACUCACCGAAGCCAGAACACUCGAGGCAUUGUAUAACGAUACAUGGUAAUGGAGUGGUUGGCUGAAAGAAAGGGUAGUUUCUCCCUUAUCGAAUCCUAUACGAGCCCCACUUAACGGGUGAACACCCGAUAGCUGGGACUAUCGCAUGGACUGGGAAUUUUCUAUGGGCUUUCGGUGUGAGGGUUG
This is a long non-coding RNA of Cephus cinctus (wheat stem sawfly), 6549 nucleotides long. RefSeq lists it as uncharacterized. The transcript is spliced from 4 exons. The record is from RefSeq and is a predicted model, not a curated record. Lineage: Eukaryota; Metazoa; Arthropoda; Insecta; Hymenoptera; Cephidae.